Molecule: ribosomal RNA, 320 nt
Filed under: uncultured eukaryote
Lineage: Eukaryota
Description: partial 18S ribosomal RNA
Rfam family: Eukaryotic small subunit ribosomal RNA
Source: RNAcentral
CCCUUAGAUGUCCUGGGCCGCACGCGCGCUACACUGACAUGUUCAACAAGCCUCCUAGUUCGACAGGAUUUGGGAAAUCUUUGAACGCAUGUCGUGAUAGGGAUAGAUCAUUGCAAUUAUUGAUCUUGAACGAGGAAUUCCUAGUAAACGCGAGUCAUCAGCUUGUGUUGAUUACGUCCCUGCCCUUUGUACACACCGCCCGUCGCUCCUACCGAUUGAAUGUUCCGGUGAGCUCUUCGGACUGCGCGGUCUGCAGUUUCUGCGUUCCGUGCGGAAAGUUGCGCAAACCUUAACAUUUAGAGGAAGGAGAAGUCGUAACA